UGGGUUGUGACCCAGUGGUAGAGCAUUUGCCUGGCAUGCAAGAGGUCCUGGGUUCAAUCCCCAGCACCAUUA
This 72-nucleotide transfer RNA is filed under the name Fukomys damarensis (Damara mole-rat). It matches the Rfam family "tRNA". From Rfam's summary of the family: Transfer RNA (tRNA) molecules are approximately 80 nucleotides in length. The record is from Rfam by way of RNAcentral. Lineage: Eukaryota; Metazoa; Chordata; Mammalia; Rodentia; Bathyergidae.